GAUGAACGCUAGCGACAGGCUUAACACAUGCAAGUCGAGGGGCAGCACGAUGUAGCAAUACAUUGGUGGCGACCGGCGCACGGGUGCGUAACACGUAUGCAACCUACCCAUAAGCGGGGAAUAACCCGGAGAAAUCCGGACUAAUACCGCAUAGUACGUUUGAGUGGGCAUCACUUAAACUUUAAAGAUUUAUCACUUAUGGGAUGGGCAUGCGCAUGAUUAGAUAGUAGGCGGGGUAACGGCCCACCUAGUCAACGAUCAUUAGGGGUUCUGAGAGGAAGGUCCCCCACAUUGGUACUGAGACACGGACCAAACUCCUACGGGAGGCAGCAGUGAGGAAUAUUGGUCAAUGGGCGAGAGUCUGAACCAGCCAAGUCGCGUGAAGGAAGAAGGAUCUAUGGUUCGUAAACUUCUUUUUUAGGGGAAUAAAGUGCGGUACGUGUACCGUUUUGUAUGUACCCUACGAAUAAGGAUCGGCUAACUCCGUG
RNAcentral lists this ribosomal RNA (488 nucleotides) under uncultured bacterium. Its description in RNAcentral is "bacterial SSU rRNA". It matches the Rfam family "Bacterial small subunit ribosomal RNA", at positions 28 to 507 of the family's 1533-position model. The record is from RNAcentral.